RNAcentral lists this transfer RNA (68 nucleotides) under Dipodomys ordii (Ord's kangaroo rat). RNAcentral's name for it is "tRNA-Lys". Lineage: Eukaryota; Metazoa; Chordata; Mammalia; Rodentia; Heteromyidae. The record is from RNAcentral.
CCAUUAUGGGAUAAUCAGUAUCCUGUCUUUAACUUAAAAGGUUAAUGCUUGAAUAGCUUCAUAAUGGA